RNAcentral lists this transfer RNA (63 nucleotides) under Capsicum annuum. It matches the Rfam family "tRNA", at positions 5 to 66 of the family's 71-position model. From Rfam's summary of the family: Transfer RNA (tRNA) molecules are approximately 80 nucleotides in length. Their secondary structure includes four short double-helical elements and three loops (D, anti-codon, and T loops). Further hydrogen bonds mediate the characteristic L-shaped molecular structure. tRNAs have two regions of fundamental functional importance: the anti-codon, which is responsible for specific mRNA codon recognition, and the 3' end, to which the tRNAs corresponding amino acid is attached (by aminoacyl-tRNA synthetases). tRNAs cope with the degeneracy of the genetic code in two manners: having more than one tRNA (with a specific anti-codon) for a particular amino acid; and 'wobble' base-pairing, i.e. permitting non-standard base-pairing at the 3rd anti-codon position. Lineage: Eukaryota; Viridiplantae; Streptophyta; Magnoliopsida; Solanales; Solanaceae. The record is from Rfam by way of RNAcentral.
UUGUAGUAUAGUAGUAUGUAUUCCCGCCUGUCACGCGGGUGACUCAGGUUCGAUCCCUGGCAA